Thalassophryne amazonica is the source of this 207-nucleotide long non-coding RNA. RefSeq lists it as uncharacterized. The record is from RefSeq and is a predicted model, not a curated record. The transcript has 3 exons. Lineage: Eukaryota; Metazoa; Chordata; Actinopteri; Batrachoidiformes; Batrachoididae.
UUAAGUAAAAGUAGUUAUAGGUGACAACAGUGGCGGCUGGUGAAAAAAAAUCUUGGUGGGGCAGGUGUGCCAAUAGAUUACCUUGCCUAGUCCAGCACAGGCAUUCAAAUGAACAGUUGGAAAAUGACUACAAUUACACAAUAAUCAUUUAAUGUCCUCCUCAAAAUCAGCAGUUUCACAGAUGAAGUUAACCAUUUACAGCUAUAU